This is a long non-coding RNA of Scleropages formosus (Asian bonytongue), 827 nucleotides long. RefSeq lists it as uncharacterized. The transcript has 3 exons. The record is from RefSeq and is a predicted model, not a curated record. Lineage: Eukaryota; Metazoa; Chordata; Actinopteri; Osteoglossiformes; Osteoglossidae.
CUGAGCGGAGCCCAUUGAUUAUUUUAAUCCGCCUAUUUGUGAGUGUGUGAUCCUCGCGGCUGUACCUUCGACAGGGGAAUCGCUAAUGGGCCUCGGCGCUCCCGCCUCAGACCUCUCCCUGUCCAAUUAGCUCUCCUCCGCGCGCCGCCGCGGCGCGAGCUGCAGCGCGAGCCGCGGCCGCCGCCUCCCUCCGACCCCCACAGGCGGCACGUUCACCAAAGCCUGUAAGUCCAGAACGCCAUUAACUUCGCUUUUAAUUAACGCGCCCCUCCUCUUCCAAAAGAAUAUAGCCCGCGCCAUUCUGUCUGCAGUUGAGCUCUGCAGCAGCCUGCUUCGACUCGUAAAAGUCGGAACUUCUUAAUUUUUUUUUUUUUUGCGACAGCUGGUUCUUACCACAGUGUGUGGGUGCCGCGCGCCCAGUAGCUAAGUGUAAAAUUAGCUUUUAAUGUCUUUCAUCCUCGAGGCAACUCCUCGGCGCACACGCGUGGAGACAUUUUAGGCAACGCGGCUCUGAAGCGCUGAGACAAGAAGAAGAAAACAAAAAAAUGGAGGCAAAUCCAAAUGGUGAUGAUUUUACCUGUUUCAGGCACGUACAAACACUUGUCUGGAUUGAUUGCGGAUGCUAGGAGUUGUCACAUUUCUUGCCCACUCUGCCAAGUUAUAGACAAAGGAAAAGCCAAACAGAAAGUGAUAGAGGAUGUUAACUGUUCCUUUAAAAUGUCCACAUCUGUGCAUAGACUGAAUUUGUCACAUAUAGAGCUUGAACCAUGAUGUGCAGUAGUGGCAUGGUUGUGUCUUUAGAACAUGCAGCCUCGGGUUGUUUUGCU